Molecule: transfer RNA, 73 nt
Filed under: compost metagenome
Description: tRNA-Thr
Rfam family: tRNA
About the family: Transfer RNA (tRNA) molecules are approximately 80 nucleotides in length. Their secondary structure includes four short double-helical elements and three loops (D, anti-codon, and T loops). Further hydrogen bonds mediate the characteristic L-shaped molecular structure. tRNAs have two regions of fundamental functional importance: the anti-codon, which is responsible for specific mRNA codon recognition, and the 3' end, to which the tRNAs corresponding amino acid is attached (by aminoacyl-tRNA synthetases). tRNAs cope with the degeneracy of the genetic code in two manners: having more than one tRNA (with a specific anti-codon) for a particular amino acid; and 'wobble' base-pairing, i.e. permitting non-standard base-pairing at the 3rd anti-codon position.
Source: RNAcentral
GCCGGUGUAGCACAAUGGUAGUGCACCUGAUUUGUAAUCAGGGGGUUGCGGGUUCAAGUCCUGUCGCCGGCUC